UCCCUAGUGGCUCAGAUGGUAAAGAAUUUGCCUGCAAUGCAGGAGACCCAGGUUUGAUCCCUGGGUUGGGAA
This 72-nucleotide transfer RNA is filed under the name Ovis aries (sheep). It matches the Rfam family "tRNA". Rfam says of the family: Transfer RNA (tRNA) molecules are approximately 80 nucleotides in length. Their secondary structure includes four short double-helical elements and three loops (D, anti-codon, and T loops). RNAcentral also lists the same sequence under 1 other name. The record is from Rfam by way of RNAcentral. Lineage: Eukaryota; Metazoa; Chordata; Mammalia; Artiodactyla; Bovidae.